CAUGUCUUUUUGAUUAUAAUUUAAAGUCUGACCUGCCCUCUGAUAUAUAGAUAUUGAAUGGCCGCGAUAAUUUGAUCGUGCAAAGGUAGCAUAAUAAUUAGUUUCUUAAUUAGGAACUGGAAUGAAAGGUUGGACGAGAAAAAAACUGUCUCAGUUUAAUUUAAUUAGAAUUUUAUUUUUAAGUAAAAAAGCUUAAAUAGUUUUAAAAGACGAGAAGACCCUAUAGAGUUUUAUAUUUAUUAAUUUAUUUUUUAGUUUAAGAAUUUUAUUUUAAUAUUAGUUAUAAAAUAUUUAGUUGGGGUGAUUGGAAAAUUUAAUAAACUUUUUUUUAUAAGAGCCAUUGAUAUAUGAAAAAUUGAUCCAUAUUUUAUGAUUAUAAGAUUAAAUUACCUUAGGGAUAACAGCGUAAUUUUUUUUGAGAGUUCUUAUCGAAAGAAAAGUUU
This 443-nucleotide ribosomal RNA is filed under the name Onthophagus mulgravei. RNAcentral's name for it is "partial 16S ribosomal RNA". The record is from RNAcentral. Lineage: Eukaryota; Metazoa; Arthropoda; Insecta; Coleoptera; Scarabaeidae.